AACAUAUAACUACCUGUGGCAGAUUAGUCAGAUCCUCCCUGUAGUGACGUCAUGUUAUUGGUAGCCUAUCUUCCCGCAGGGAGGUGUGUAUAAAUGGCUGUUUGGUGCGGGCCGGAUGUGCGUCAUCUGUUCUGUGCCUGCGCUCUUCCUGUUUACCGGCAUUCAACAGAGGUCUGUGGUUAAAACACAGCCGUUUGGGCAUUUUAACACGCUUGUGUCAUUUUGUGGGGCUUUGCGUACACUGGAGAGUCUAUUGUAAACAACCGUUACGUGCGGUCUGGCUCGUUACACUGCCUAGUCCCAGCAUUCCCGUGUGUUUACCGUUUGAGUGGGGACAUCCAAUAUAUGCUGUUUGGCAUCUACUUCAUUUCUAUCCCGUGGAUACUGACGUCAGCUCUGCUUUCUGGUGUGGCAAACGGCUGCGUUAUUUGGGGCUAAGACUGUGCGUGCUGCAUUUCCCUACUACAUAUAGAAGCACGCUGCUGUUUUGUUCCUGCUGGAUUUGCUUUCGUUUCUUUUCUGUAUAUUUUUGCUGUGUGUUUUCAUCAUUUUGUCCUGGGUGAUUUAGCGCGGCCCGAUUUUGGAGUUGUUGGUUAAAACCUGCUCCUACUGUGACUGUAUUUUAAAGAUCUUUUCCUCGUACGUUGGGAAAUAACGAGUUCAAGGGCCGCGCUCAUUCAGAUAUUUAUUUCUUCAUUUUCCCUUUGUGGUGUUUCUCAUUUUGGACUGGUUCAGAAUGCUGAGAUUUUCUCUUGGACAUUGUUGUCUUUAAAUUUAUUUUCCUUUUGUGUUAUUUAGCUGUUUAAGCUAGAAUUUAUUUCUUUUCUUUAUGUUGGAAGGGUUUCUUUUGCUCCCCUGCAUUUAAUAAGUUUUUAUUGAUUAAUUUCUAUUGCUUUGAUUUAU
Molecule: long non-coding RNA, 903 nt
Organism: Carassius auratus (goldfish)
Lineage: Eukaryota; Metazoa; Chordata; Actinopteri; Cypriniformes; Cyprinidae
Exons: 3
Source: RefSeq, a predicted model, not a curated record